AUGAUUGAGGGGGAUGAGAAGUGGAGGUUGACUGGGAUCUAUGGUGAACCGAAUUGGGAUUGGAAAGAGAGGACAUGGACGAACUUACGUGACCUGCAUGAACUCUACAAAAUUCCAUGGCUCGUGUUGGGGGAUUUUAAUGAAAUACUCUUCAAUUCGGAGAAGGAAAGAGGUAAUCUAAGACCUGUGAGAUUUAUGCAGGAAUUCCAGAAUUGUUUAGAUCACUGUGGUUUGGGUGACAUGGAAUAUGUGGGUGAUAAAUUUACUUGGAGAAGGGGGUAGAUUAGAGAAAGACUUGACAGAUCUGUGUGUUCGUCCGAAUGGAGGAACCUUUUCCCUUUUGCAGCGCUGAUCAAUGAGAGCAUGACAAAAUCAGAUCAUCGUCAGAUGUGA
This 393-nucleotide ribosomal RNA is filed under the name Triticum aestivum (bread wheat). RNAcentral's name for it is "partial small subunit ribosomal RNA". The record is from RNAcentral. Lineage: Eukaryota; Viridiplantae; Streptophyta; Magnoliopsida; Poales; Poaceae.